This 253-nucleotide ribosomal RNA is filed under the name uncultured bacterium. RNAcentral's name for it is "partial 16S ribosomal RNA". It matches the Rfam family "Bacterial small subunit ribosomal RNA", at positions 524 to 776 of the family's 1533-position model. The record is from RNAcentral.
UACGUAGGUGGCAAGCGUUGUCCGGAUUUACUGGGCGUAAAGAGCGCGCAGGCGGUUGUGCAAGUCGCGUGUGAAAGCCCCCGGCUCAACUGGGGAGGGUCACGCGAUACUGUUCGACUUGAAGGCAGGAGAGGGAAGUGGAAUUCCCGGUGUAGUGGUGAAAUGCGUAGAUAUCGGGAGGAACACCAGUGGCGAAGGCGACUUCCUGGCCUGUUCUUGACGCUGAGGCGCGAAAGCUAGGGUAGCAAACGGG